Long non-coding RNA from Lucilia cuprina (Australian sheep blowfly), 276 nucleotides. RefSeq lists it as uncharacterized. The record is from RefSeq and is a predicted model, not a curated record. The transcript has 4 exons. Lineage: Eukaryota; Metazoa; Arthropoda; Insecta; Diptera; Calliphoridae.
CAUAUAUAUUACAUAGAGAUUUAUUGUUUGGAAGUUGAGUAAUUAGUCACAAACAAUUGAUAACUUGAAGCGUGUGGUCAUACAACAAACAGAACAAUAAAAUAUUAAAUUAUUGAACGUGAUUUUAAAAUGGAGUCAACACCAUUGUUUGAUCAGUUUCAAACAUAUUUAGAAAUUCCGGAAAUAGUUGUUAUACCAAAUGAUAAACCAUUUUAUAAUGGCUUAGAGAUGGGUGCCGUCAACAACCCAAUAUCAUUCAAUACUAUCUUGUUGUCA